This 380-nucleotide ribosomal RNA is filed under the name uncultured eukaryote. Its description in RNAcentral is "partial 18S ribosomal RNA". It matches the Rfam family "Eukaryotic small subunit ribosomal RNA", at positions 592 to 976 of the family's 1831-position model. The record is from RNAcentral.
CAAUAGCGUAUAUUAAAGUUGUUGCAGUUAAAAAGCUCGUAGUUGGAUUUGUGGCGUACGGUGUGUUCCGGGCACUUGUUGCCUGAGUAACCUGCUGUUGCCAUCCUUGGGUGGAACCUGUGUGGCAUUAGGUUGUCGUGCAGGGGAUGCCCAUCAUUUACUGUGAAAAAAUUAGAGUGUUCAAAGCAGGCUUAUGCCGUCGAAUAUAUUAGCAUGGAAUAAUGAGAUAGGACUUUUUUGCUAUUUUGUUGGUUUGCGCAAAGAGGUAAUGAUUAAUAGGGACAGUUGGGGGUAUUCGUAUUCCAUUGUCAGAGGUGAAAUUCUUGGAUUUUUGGAAGACGAACUACUGCGAAAGCAUUUACCAAGGAUGUUUUCAUUAA